Molecule: ribosomal RNA, 676 nt
Filed under: Proteus penneri
Lineage: Bacteria; Pseudomonadati; Pseudomonadota; Gammaproteobacteria; Enterobacterales; Morganellaceae
Description: bacterial SSU rRNA
Rfam family: Bacterial small subunit ribosomal RNA
Source: RNAcentral
AGGUUGUGGUCUUGAACCGUGGCUUCUGGAGCUAACGCGUUAAAUCGACCGCCUGGGGAGUACGGCCGCAAGGUUAAAACUCAAAUGAAUUGACGGGGGCCCGCACAAGCGGUGGAGCAUGUGGUUUAAUUCGAUGCAACGCGAAGAACCUUACCUACUCUUGACAUCCAGAGAAUCCUUUAGAGAUAGAGGAGUGCCUUCGGGAACUCUGAGACAGGUGCUGCAUGGCUGUCGUCAGCUCGUGUUGUGAAAUGUUGGGUUAAGUCCCGCAACGAGCGCAACCCUUAUCCUUUGUUGCCAGCGCGUGAUGGCGGGAACUCAAAGGAGACUGCCGGUGAUAAACCGGAGGAAGGUGGGGAUGACGUCAAGUCAUCAUGGCCCUUACGAGUAGGGCUACACACGUGCUACAAUGGCAGAUACAAAGAGAAGCGACCUCGCGAGAGCAAGCGGAACUCAUAAAGUCUGUCGUAGUCCGGAUUGGAGUCUGCAACUCGACUCCAUGAAGUCGGAAUCGCUAGUAAUCGUAGAUCAGAAUGCUACGGUGAAUACGUUCCCGGGCCUUGUACACACCGCCCGUCACACCAUGGGAGUGGGUUGCAAAAGAAGUAGGUAGCUUAACCUUCGGGAGGGCGCUUACCACUUUGUGAUUCAUGACUGGGGUGAAGUCGUACAGGGA